Molecule: long non-coding RNA, 886 nt
Organism: Solanum lycopersicum (tomato)
Lineage: Eukaryota; Viridiplantae; Streptophyta; Magnoliopsida; Solanales; Solanaceae
Source: RefSeq, a predicted model, not a curated record
CAAAAAUGCUUUUAAACACUUUUUUAGAUGGAAAAAGUACAAGAAAAAAAAUACAAAAGAAACAAAAUUUAAAAGUUUCUCUCAAUUUGCUUGAUUUAGUUUUUUUUAGCAUUUCAAUUUUUCACGUGACAUACUUAAAAUUACAAAACUAAAUAUCACUUAAUAUAUUUUACAGAUUUUCAAUUUUAAAUCACUAAAUGAAAAAAGUCACUUAUAAAAAGUGAACCCGACCCCCACACCACCAUUUUAUGGACAAGUUGUAAAUUAAAUAAGGCAGAAAUAUCGGAGAGAGGGGCCUAUAAAAUGAUGGCCCUUCAUGAACCAAAAUAUUGCAUUGCAUUGCCAUAACACAUUCUCCCACACGUAUACAUCUUUCUUAGCAAUAAUACUGUUGUUAUGGCUCGUAGUUACGCUUUCUAUUUCACUAUUGCUCUUUUGGUGAUGUCUGUUUAUUUGGAUGAGUCUAUAAAAGUGAAAGUAGACGCUGCAAGAGACGUGUCGCGGACUAUAACAGAACUGAAAUCAAAACUAAAUGGCUAUAACUUGAUGGGUGGUUGCGGUGGAUACUGUCGACAGAGUAGUGAUUGUUACGUUCGUUCAUGUCCCCGUUGUCUCUACGAUGUUCUUGCACAUACCUACGGCUGCCACUCGUAAAGGAUCGAUCACAAUAUGUGCUUCUAAGUUCUACAAAAUAAGAGUAUAUGUAUGUUUGUGUGGUUUAUUGCCUUCAAUUAAUUUGCUUUUGUAUUUAUCUUUUCUCAUUUAAGAGAACCACUAAGUUCUACUUCUACCUUAUAAUAAUAGAGGAAGGAUAAUGUAUUGGCCUACAAUAUUUGUACUUUUUGGUUUGGAAUGGAAGAACUCUAUAAUUAUUUUGCUUAUGGAA